CCACUCCUAGUCCACACCACUACCAAUCCCUGUUGGCUUACUAUAUUCAAUAUAUGCAGAUACAGGGGAAGAUACAGAUAUUUUGAAUUUAGCUUCUAUACAUAUUACAUAUACCCUGUAAAAGAAGUUAUAUAGUAGUAGUAAUUAAUUCAACCUGAUAAUCAUACAUUUGAAUAUAGUAAGCCAACGGGGAUUUGAAUAUAGUAAGCGAACCUGAUAAUCGUACAUUUGUAACUUAAGUUAAAUUUAUUUUAUAUUAAAUGUGUCUAGGUGUGAAAAGAAGCUACUUAUUUUUUUUAAUGCAUGUGUGGCUUCUUCACUGUCGUCGAUAACGAGACUACUGGGGGCAGCCUGCAGUUUAUUAAUGUAAAAGGUAAAUGCCAAAUAUAACUUUCAAAUUGAGACAAGUGAGUUCAUUCUGCAUCAAAUUAUGUGUUACCUACUACCAGUGUCGCAUAAGUAAAUAGAAAUGAGGUAAAACUUAAGCCUGUCGCAAUAGCUGGAUUAACCAAACUCAGCAAACUUUCAGCAUUAAACCAAUAGUUUUGUAGUCAUGUAAUUACCAAAGCUAUAGCCUAGUGGAAGCAAUGGAUUGGAGCCCAUCCACGUAUUGGUUCCACAAUAUAUGAAAAAUGAAAUUGAAUCAAAUCAUUUCCGAUCAAUAAGUGUUAGUUCCAUACCUCAAAGAAGCAUUCUUUUUAAUGACCACCUAAAAUUUUCCUUCCAAUUACAAAAUGAUAUAUUCUUCAGUGGCUCAU
Molecule: long non-coding RNA, 758 nt
Filed under: Nicotiana tabacum (common tobacco)
Lineage: Eukaryota; Viridiplantae; Streptophyta; Magnoliopsida; Solanales; Solanaceae
Description: long non-coding RNA (NTAB_LNC015853)
Source: RNAcentral